This 209-nucleotide long non-coding RNA is filed under the name Capsicum annuum. RNAcentral describes it as "long non-coding RNA (CANN_LNC007824)". Lineage: Eukaryota; Viridiplantae; Streptophyta; Magnoliopsida; Solanales; Solanaceae. The record is from RNAcentral.
CAGAGACUUAGACCUUAUAUAUACCCAUGUUUUGCCUUUUUUCCAUUUUUAAGACUUGGAGCUUAGGGUUUCACACUUUUGAGCAAUUUCUUCCAUUUUAAAGCUUGGGUAAGCUUCUAAAAACCUAUUUCAACUACUUUACUCCAAUUUUAUCAUCCAAUUCUUGUCUUAAUGCGGAUUAAAGUGGAAAAUUGUGGAUUUUGGCCCGG